AGUGCUGUCUCUCUUCUUUCUUCAGGACCUGCUGCUUCUGUUCUCUGGAUUUCAAAAGAAAUCCAAUUUAUGAAUUGAAAGAAUGAAUGCAAGAAAGUAAACC
Thalassophryne amazonica is the source of this 103-nucleotide long non-coding RNA. RefSeq lists it as uncharacterized. Lineage: Eukaryota; Metazoa; Chordata; Actinopteri; Batrachoidiformes; Batrachoididae. The transcript is spliced from 3 exons. The record is from RefSeq and is a predicted model, not a curated record.